UGGCGGCGUGCCUAAUACAUGCAAGUCGAACGGUCUUUCUAUGGAAGCUUGCUCCACUGAGAAGAUAGUGGCGAACGGGUGAGUAACACGUGGGUAACCUGCCCAUAAGAGGGGGAGUAACAUCCGGAAACGGGUGCUAAUACCGCAUAGUUUUCUUGAUCGCAUGAUUGAGAAAGGAAAGACGGCCUUUGUGCUGUCGCUUAUGGAUGGACCCGCGGCGUAUUAGUUAGUUGGUGAGGUAACGGCUCACCAAGACGAUGAUACGUAGCCGACCUGAGAGGGUGAUCGGCCACAUUGGGACUGAGACACGGCCCAAACUCCUACGGGAGGCAGCAGUAGGGAAUCUUCCGCAAUGGACGAAAGUCUGACGGAGCAACGCCGCGUGAGUGAAAGAAGGUUUUCGGAUCGUAAAACUCUGUUGUCAGAGAAGAACAAGUUGGAGAGUAACUGCUCCAGCCUUGACGGUAUCUGACCAGAAAGCCACGGCUAACUACGUGCCAGCCGCCGC
RNAcentral lists this ribosomal RNA (508 nucleotides) under uncultured bacterium. RNAcentral describes it as "bacterial SSU rRNA". It matches the Rfam family "Bacterial small subunit ribosomal RNA", at positions 37 to 518 of the family's 1533-position model. The record is from RNAcentral.